AGGACGAACGCUGGCGGCGUGCUUAACACAUGCAAGUCGAGCGGUAAGGCUCCUUCGGGAGUACACGAGCGGCGAACGGGUGAGUAACACGUGAGCAAUCUGCCCUUCUCUUCGGAAUAACCAUUGGAAACGAUGGCUAAUGCCGAAUACGACCUCCUUUCGCAUGAUCGGAGGUGGAAAGCUCCGGCGGAGAAGGAUGAGCUCGCGGCCUAUCAGCUA
This 219-nucleotide ribosomal RNA is filed under the name uncultured soil bacterium. RNAcentral's name for it is "partial 16S ribosomal RNA". It matches the Rfam family "Bacterial small subunit ribosomal RNA", at positions 26 to 247 of the family's 1533-position model. The record is from RNAcentral.